ACAACAAGAGAGGUGUUCAAGCCGUUCAGCUUAUGCAGAACACGGGAACAAUUCAAAUUCCUCUUCAGCUGUGUCAGUCAUCUCCAAAGUCGACACCUGCAGCUGUGUUAAAUUAUAAAGGAGCUCCGAAAAUGAGAGGGGAUGGACUUAUCAUUAAUAUCGUGCAGAUUGUGCUCUCUUCAAAUGGGAGAAAUGCCUGAUGUUUAACAGCUGGACGAAGGAGAUGUACGAUCUCUGGACAACAUUCUUCCACUACUGUAGGAGACAGUUUCCAUAAAUCACUUCUAGAAAAGCAGUGGCUAUUUUCAAAGGGAAAGGCAGAGUGCAUCUAUGACAUCAUCUCUUCUGGCUGCGUUUUGCAAGCUGGGAUGGAAUUUUGCCAGUGACCCAAUGCCAUGCGGCAGUAGCCCUCGGCUGCCUGUGCCCGAGCACCAGAGCUACAGCAGCAGCCACUCUGCUCUACCAAUUGCAGAUGGAUCACAGCAGUGGAAAUACAGGCAAGAAACACACUUCCUGUGAACUGAAUUUGGGAGCAUGUGCCCUAAUAUAGAAGACAACAUGGUAGAGCAGCCAGUAGGUUAAUAGCCAUAUUAAUAAAAGUAAUAUAAA
Molecule: long non-coding RNA, 609 nt
Filed under: Anser brachyrhynchus (Pink-footed goose)
Lineage: Eukaryota; Metazoa; Chordata; Aves; Anseriformes; Anatidae
Description: lncRNA (ENSABRG00000001047.1)
Source: RNAcentral